RNAcentral lists this ribosomal RNA (996 nucleotides) under Escherichia coli. RNAcentral describes it as "partial 23S ribosomal RNA". It matches the Rfam family "Bacterial large subunit ribosomal RNA", at positions 890 to 1869 of the family's 2925-position model. Lineage: Bacteria; Pseudomonadati; Pseudomonadota; Gammaproteobacteria; Enterobacterales; Enterobacteriaceae. The record is from RNAcentral.
UCAUCUCCGGGGGUAGAGCACUGUUUCGGCAAGGGGGUCAUCCCGACUUACCAACCCGAUGCAAACUGCGAAUACCGGAGAAUGUUAUCACGGGAGACACACGGCGGGUGCUAACGUCCGUCGUGAAGAGGGAAACAACCCAGACCGCCAGCUAAGGUCCCAAAGUCAUGGUUAAGUGGGAAACGAUGUGGGAAGGCCCAGACAGCCAGGAUGUUGGCUUAGAAGCAGCCAUCAUUUAAAGAAAGCGUAAUAGCUCACUGGUCGAGUCGGCCUGCGCGGAAGAUGUAACGGGGCUAAACCAUGCACCGAAGCUGCGGCAGCGACACUAUGUGUUGUUGGGUAGGGGAGCGUUCUGUAAGCCUGUGAAGGUGUGCUGUGAGGCAUGCUGGAGGUAUCAGAAGUGCGAAUGCUGACAUAAGUAACGAUAAAGCGGGUGAAAAGCCCGCUCGCCGGAAGACCAAGGGUUCCUGUCCAACGUUAAUCGGGGCAGGGUGAGUCGACCCCUAAGGCGAGGCCGAAAGGCGUAGUCGAUGGGAAACAGGUUAAUAUUCCUGUACUUGGUGUUACUGCGAAGGGGGGACGGAGAAGGCUAUGUUGGCCGGGCGACGGUUGUCCCGGUUUAAGCGUGUAGGCUGGUUUUCCAGGCAAAUCCGGAAAAUCAAGGCUGAGGCGUGAUGACGAGGCACUACGGUGCUGAAGCAACAAAUGCCCUGCUUCCAGGAAAAGCCUCUAAGCAUCAGGUAACAUCAAAUCGUACCCCAAACCGACACAGGUGGUCAGGUAGAGAAUACCAAGGCGCUUGAGAGAACUCGGGUGAAGGAACUAGGCAAAAUGGUGCCGUAACUUCGGGAGAAGGCACGCUGAUAUGUAGGUGAAGUCCCUCGCGGAUGGAGCUGAAAUCAGUCGAAGAUACCAGCUGGCUGCAACUGUUUAUUAAAAACACAGCACUGUGCAAACACGAAAGUGGACGUAUACGGUGUGACGCCUGCCCGGUGC